UACGAAGGGGGCGAGCGUUGUUCGGAAUUACUGGGCGUAAAGCGCACGUAGGCGGAUAUUUAAGUCAGGGGUGAAAUCCCAGAGCUCAACUCUGGAACUGCCUUUGAUACUGGGUAUCUUGAGUAUGGAAGAGGUAAGUGGAAUUGCGAGUGUAGAGGUGAAAUUCGUAGAUAUUCGCAGGAACACCAGUGGCGAAGGCGGCUUACUGGUCCAUAACUGACGCUGAGGUGCGAAAGCGUGGGAGCAAACAGG
RNAcentral lists this ribosomal RNA (252 nucleotides) under uncultured bacterium. Its description in RNAcentral is "partial 16S ribosomal RNA". It matches the Rfam family "Bacterial small subunit ribosomal RNA", at positions 524 to 776 of the family's 1533-position model. The record is from RNAcentral.